UCGCUCUUUUUUGUGCCGGUGCGGCUACUUGGGUGGUGGUUUGCAGUUUGCAGUUUGUGCAGUUUGCGUUGUCCUAGAGCGGUGUGCAUUGAUUUUUGAGCAGGGUGUCCCAG
This is a non-coding RNA of Caenorhabditis elegans, 113 nucleotides long. Lineage: Eukaryota; Metazoa; Nematoda; Chromadorea; Rhabditida; Rhabditidae. The record is from Ensembl.